RNAcentral lists this unclassified non-coding RNA (261 nucleotides) under Hevea brasiliensis (rubber tree). Lineage: Eukaryota; Viridiplantae; Streptophyta; Magnoliopsida; Malpighiales; Euphorbiaceae. The record is from RNAcentral.
CUUAUUUUAAACAUAUGUUUUAAUUUAAAAACUUCAUAUUAAUUUAAAUUUAUUAUAUAAUAAUUUAGUGAUAUGAUAGGUGUAUAUCUUUAAUAUCAUUACAAACUAAGCAAAAUCACUUCAUUAUAUUGUAUUUUCUAAAGUGUUUUAGUUAGGUCACCUCCCACUUUAAUAAAUCAAGAAAAAUAAUUAGAUUAAUAAUGGGUAGGCCACUUACUAAUUAACACCACACAAAAAAAUGCUUCAAAUAUUAAAGAUAAG